GCCGCCCUUCCCGCCCCGCCGGACGCCUGCGCUGCGCCUUCCCCGGGCUGCGGCCUGCGCCGGGCCCGGGCCUGCGCCGGGAGGCUUUCUGCCCAAGAGAGGAGGCACAGCUGACAUCAGUCGGAGGGGAAGCAAGCUGGAGCGUUGGCUGAGAGCCUGAGCUGGAAGCUGGAGGAAUCUGGAGGGAGAGAGACACAAAUCUGGUGUCAGGGCUGGGGCUGCUGUGAAGCUGGGAGACGGGGAAGAAAUGGGGCUCUGGCGUGACUGACCUGUGGGUGGAAGAGGCGGCUUGAGAUGGCGUGUGGUCAAGGUUGGGAGAUGGAGGGUGAUGCCUCUCUGCACCAAACGGCCUCAAGAGUUCGCUUCAGCAAAUGGCUGUGGCUGUCUUUAAACCCCUCUGUCAACACAAAGGAUUGCAGCACUAAUAAUACCAGCCACAGUCAUGAGUUUUUCUUCCUGAGUUGGCCUAGAGAAAAUGCAUAAUUUAAUUUUUCAUUUGAAAUAGGCCCCUCUGCUCAGUUGUGAGCCGAGGAUGACUGGGAAGGCAAUUUUCUUGUUUAAACCAAUUUCUUUUGAAAAAGCAAACAGAAGCUAUUUAUAUAUCAAAUGAAAAUGCUGGUAACCAUUUAAACAUGUGGAGUAUUGACUGUUUGUUCUAAAUAUAGCAGAUGUAAUCGCUCACUUUGUUCCUACUGUCAGGAAUAGAGCCUGGCUCAGGCGCUGAUGCUGGAAUGUGCGAAGGAGGAAGGAGCCCGGGGGAGCCCAGGUCCUGCUGGGCAGAUCCCUGCGGGGAGGCUGGUGGUAUUUAUGCUCCUUGACUGAGCCAAGCAGGAGGUACAGGAUGCCGUGUCCUUUGUACGGAGCUGAGCUGAGAGGUUCAUUUCUGUCACUUUUUAUGGGCUGUUUCUAAAGCAAGGCUUCGUUCAGGCUCUGUGGGGGACGCUUUUCUCUGUACUGUGCCAUCUUAAAUUCUCCCCUUGGCUUGAUGGAGGAGGGCAGAUAAUUGCUAGGCUGCUGGGCGCCUGCCUCUUGUGGGUGAGUGAGGCAGUCGUCAGAGCAGGUGACAACAUGCAGAUACCAUUCAGCCAUACCUAAAGCCCUGUCAAUCAGCAUUUCUUUGUGUCAUUCAGUUCCCAUUUUGGGUCAUGUGUUUCCACAGCAACUGAAACACACAGCUUUAUCUAGUUAGUGUGCCUCCUUGUCCCUGCCUCUCACCUUCCCUGUCUUGUGGGAACAGCUCCUCCAGCUCCCUCAGGUGACCCAUCUCCCUCCUUUGGGGCUUGUCACAUCUUGUGGCAAGCCCAGGGGAGAGUGAAGAUGUUUUGUGGUAGGGUUGUGGUUUGACAGGCUCCUCCAUCACUGAAGAUGCUGGUGAAUUGGCUGGGUGAGACUGUGUGGUCACCAUUUGAGUGUCAGCUUGUAUGAGGGGCACAGUAGAGCUGUUGUUUGUACCAUGAUGGUGUAUCCCGAUCCCUGGUGAGGACUGCAGGGGGGUGUGAGACCCAGCUGACACGCUGACAAGUGUUGACCUCAGGCGAGGAGCAGUGCUGGUGUGCCCUAAUCUUCACCUGCCCUUGUGGAGCUCCAAGUUGUGAGACCCUUGUCCUCACAGGGUGACUGAUGGCCUGGGUUAUUUCCUUGCAAUGCAGUUCCUAUUAGAUAUUGCCCACAGUGUGGUCUUCUUCAUCCAUGUCACUUUGCAGGCCUGUCGGGUCUCCAUCUCGAACGGAAGGGCUGUGUGACCAUCUGCUGUUCUGUGGAGCCUGGUGUUGGUCUGCAGUUCUACCUCAUUUUCAGUCUGUAUUAUUUUUACCCUCUGUCAGUUCCUCAGCAGAAGGGUUUGAAUGAGCAACCUAUGAAAACUAGUGAGGCAGCUAAAACAUGAACAAAAUUGCUUAGUGUUGAAUGAAAAGAGUAAUUUCCCCCUGGAUUUGGUAAUAAACCUGAAGUGCAAAUGAUCAACCCA
Falco peregrinus (peregrine falcon) is the source of this 1966-nucleotide long non-coding RNA. RefSeq lists it as uncharacterized. The transcript has 2 exons. The record is from RefSeq and is a predicted model, not a curated record. Lineage: Eukaryota; Metazoa; Chordata; Aves; Falconiformes; Falconidae.